This 400-nucleotide ribosomal RNA is filed under the name uncultured bacterium. RNAcentral describes it as "bacterial SSU rRNA". It matches the Rfam family "Bacterial small subunit ribosomal RNA", at positions 355 to 747 of the family's 1533-position model. The record is from RNAcentral.
UGGGGAAUAUUGGACAAUGGGGGAAACCCUGAUCCAGCAAUACCGCGUGGAGGAAGAAGGCCUUUGGGUUGUAAACUCCUGUCAUUAGGGAAAAAGGUAGGGCGGUGAAUAAUCGUUUUGCUUGAUGGUACCUAAGGAGGAAGCACCGGCUAACCUCGUGCCAGCAGCCGCGGUAAUACGAGGGGUGCAAGCGUUGUUCGGAAUUACUGGGCGUAAAGCGUGUCUAGGCGGAUUGAUAAGUCGAUUGUGAAAGCCUGUGGCUUAACCACGGAUGUGCAGUCGAGACUGUUAGUCUUGAGUCAUGGAGAGAUGGGCGGAAUUCCGAGUGUAGCAGUGAAAUGCGUAGAUAUUCGGAGGAACAUCAGAGGCGAAGGCGGCUCAUUGGCCAUGUACUGACGCU